This 484-nucleotide ribosomal RNA is filed under the name uncultured bacterium. RNAcentral describes it as "partial 16S ribosomal RNA". It matches the Rfam family "Bacterial small subunit ribosomal RNA", at positions 30 to 507 of the family's 1533-position model. The record is from RNAcentral.
AUUGAACGCUGGCGGCAGGCCUAACACAUGCAAGUCGAGCGGAUGAAGGGAGCUUGCUCCUGGAUUCAGCGGCGGACGGGUGAGUAAUGCCUAGGAAUCUGCCUGGUAGCGGGGGAUAACGUCCGGAAACGGGCGCUAAUACCGCAUACGUCCUGAGGGAGAAAGUGGGGGAUCUUCGGACCUCACGCUAUCAGAUGAGCCUAGGUCGGAUUAGCUAGUUGGUGGGGUAAAGGCCUACCAAGGCGACGAUCCGUAACUGGUCUGAGAGGAUGAUCAGUCACACUGGAACUGAGACACGGUCCAGACUCCUACGGGAGGCAGCAGUGGGGAAUAUUGGACAAUGGGCGAAAGCCUGAUCCAGCCAUGCCGCGUGUGUGAAGAAGGUCUUCGGAUUGUAAAGCACUUUAAGUUGGGAGGAAGGGCAGUAAGUUAAUACCUUGCUGUUUUGACGUUACCAACUGAAUAAGCACCGGCUAACUUCGUG